AGGACGAACGCUGGCGGCGUGCUUAACACAUGCAAGUCGAACGAUGAAGCCUUCGGGUGGAUUAGUGGCGAACGGGUGAGUAACACGUGGGAAAUCUGCCCUGCACUCUGGGACAAGCCUUGGAAACGAGGUCUAAUACCGGAUAUGACCUGUCCUCGCAUGGGGACGGGUGGAAAGCUCCGGCGGUGCAGGAUGAUCCCGCGGCCUAUCAGCUUGUUGGUGGGGUAAUGGCCUACCAAGGCGACGACGGGUAGCCGGCCUGAGAGGGCGACCGGCCACACUGGGACUGAGACACGGCCCAGACUCCUACGGGAGGCAGCAGUGGGGAAUAUUGCACAAUGGGCGAAAGCCUGAUGCAGCGACGCCGCGUGAGGGAUGAAGGCCUUCGGGUCGUAAACCUCUUUCAGCAGGGAAGAGCGCAAGUGACGGUACCUGCAGAAGAAGCACCGGCUAACUACGCGCCAGCAGCCGCGGU
RNAcentral lists this ribosomal RNA (475 nucleotides) under uncultured bacterium. Its description in RNAcentral is "SSU rRNA". It matches the Rfam family "Bacterial small subunit ribosomal RNA", at positions 26 to 521 of the family's 1533-position model. The record is from RNAcentral.